GAUGAAGAACGUAGCGAAAUGCGAUAAGUAAUGUGAAUUGCAGAAUUCAGUGAAUCAUCGAAUCUUUGAACGCACAUUGCGCCCGCCAGUAUUCUGGCGGGCAUGCCUGUUCGAGCGUCAUUACAACCCUCAGGCCCCCGGGCCUGGCGUUGGGGAUCGGCGGAGCCCCCCGUGGGCACACGCCGUCCCCCAAAUGCAGUGGCGGUCCCGCCGCAGCUUCCAUCGCGUAGUAGCUAACACCUCGCGACUGGAGAGCGGCGCGGCCACGCCGUAAAACACCCAACUCUUCUGAAGUUGACCUCGAAUCAGGUAGGAAUACCCGCUGAAUUUAAGCAUAUCAAUAAGCGGAGGA
This 352-nucleotide unclassified non-coding RNA is filed under the name soil metagenome. RNAcentral describes it as "partial contains 5.8S ribosomal RNA, internal transcribed spacer 2, and large subunit ribosomal RNA". The stretch from base 1 to 120 matches the Rfam family "5.8S ribosomal RNA", at positions 35 to 154 of the family's 154-position model. The record is from RNAcentral.